UUCUAAUGUUGGGUUAGUCCNNAACGAGCGCMACCCUUGUCCUUAGUUGCUAGCGGUUCGGCGGGCNCUCUAGGGAGACUGCCGGUGACAAACCGGAGGAAGGUGGGGAUGACGUCAAGUCCUCAUGGCCNUUAUGUCCAGGDCUACACACGUGCUACAAUGGCGCGUACAGAGGGAAGCCAAGCCGCGAGGUGGAGCAGACCCCAGAAAGCGCGUCGUAGUUCGGAUUGCAGUCUGCAACUNGACUGCAUGAAGUCGGAAUCGCUAGUAAUCGCGGAUCAGCAUGCCGCGGUAAAUACGUUCCCAGGCC
Molecule: ribosomal RNA, 310 nt
Filed under: Acidithiobacillus ferrooxidans
Lineage: Bacteria; Pseudomonadati; Pseudomonadota; Acidithiobacillia; Acidithiobacillales; Acidithiobacillaceae
Description: 16S ribosomal RNA
Rfam family: Bacterial small subunit ribosomal RNA
Source: RNAcentral